This 465-nucleotide ribosomal RNA is filed under the name Vreelandella stevensii. RNAcentral's name for it is "partial 16S ribosomal RNA". It matches the Rfam family "Bacterial small subunit ribosomal RNA", at positions 338 to 795 of the family's 1533-position model. The record is from RNAcentral. Lineage: Bacteria; Pseudomonadati; Pseudomonadota; Gammaproteobacteria; Oceanospirillales; Halomonadaceae.
CCUACGGGUGGCAGCAGUGGGGAAUAUUGGACAAUGGGGGCAACCCUGAUCCAGCCAUGCCGCGUGUGUGAAGAAGGCCCUCGGGUUGUAAAGCACUUUCAGUGAGGAAGAACGCCUGGUGGUUAAUACCCAUCAGGAAAGACAUCACUCACAGAAGAAGCACCGGCUAACUCCGUGCCAGCAGCCGCGGUAAUACGGAGGGUGCGAGCGUUAAUCGGAAUUACUGGGCGUAAAGCGUGCGUAGGUGGCUUGAUAAGCCGGUUGUGAAAGCCCCGGGCUCAACCUGGGAACGGCAUCCGGAACUGUCAAGCUAGAGUGCAGGAGAGGAAGGUAGAAUUCCCGGUGUAGCGGUGAAAUGCGUAGAGAUCGGGAGGAAUACCAGUGGCGAAGGCGGCCUUCUGGACUGACACUGACACUGAGGUGCGAAAGCGUGGGUAGCAAACAGGAUUAGAUACCCUUGUAGUC